UGAGGGGAAACCUCUCCCCUGGGUCCCGUCCCAGGUGGAAGAUCAGGGGCAGCUUCGUGUGGUCUUCCAGAUUGUGAGUUGUGACCCCGGAAACGUUCUGCCCAGGGCAGAAAUCAAUGCCCUGCAAUGAGAAGAGGAGGGAAGGUGUGUCCUGGAGCCCCUGAACCACGGCCAUGAGGGGCCACGUCUGCCCGUGUCCUGGAGCCCCUGACCCGCGGCCAUGAGGGGCCUCGUCUGCCCGUGUCCUGGAGCCCCUGACUCGCGGCCGUGAGGGGCCUUGUCUGCCUGUGUCCUGGAGCCCCUAACUGGGGGCCGUGGGGGGGUCUCAUCUGCCUGUGCCUGGCAGCGUCCCUGGUACUCAGCAUGGUGCAGGGCGCUGGCUAAACGCUGAAGGACUAGCGGGCCCAUAAGCAUCCUGUGGAGGAGGUGAAGCCACCCGCUCUGGGCCCGAGAUGCGUAGCUGGCAUGCCUCACAUACCCCGCUUUCAUGUACCCCUCUUCUUUGCGAGGCAGGCAAGUGUAUUUAAAACACCUUAGCCAGCCUCAGAUCUGGACUGCCACUAAUUUCAUGGAGGAAAGCCCCUUUUAACAGCCCACUCUCUGCUGGGGAAGGGAGGGGAGGGGAGGGGAAGGGAGGGGAAGGGAGGCCCUGCCCUGGGAGAAGGGAGAGCCACAAUGCUCAGAAUCCCUACAGAAACCCUAAGACAGGGAGGAGCAGGACCAACAUGUGAAAGGCAAGAGAAAACACAGAAAACAGAAAACAGACCCAGGGAGCUGACGCAGAUUCACACACUCAAGAAGGGCGAGGAUUUUACAGUAACCACAGUUCUCUUUCUGCUGCCCCUGGGCUUCCUGAUUCAGGAAAGGGGAGGUAUGCCUCCAACAUUCCCAGAGCGGGUGCUGCAGGCCAAGGGGCUCGUCCGAGGACCGAUGCCCAGGACGGCCCUCGCAGGCGGCAAUGCUGGGGGACCGAUGCCCAGGACGGCCCUCGCAGGUGACAAUGCUGGGGGACCGAUGCCCAGGACGGCCCUCGCAGGCGGCAAUGCCGGGGACCGAUGCCCAGGACGGCCCUCGCAGGCGGCAAUGCCGGGGACCGAUGCCCAGGACGGCCCUCGCAGGCGACAGUGCCGGGGACCGAUGCCCAGGAUGGCCCUCGCAGGUGACAGUGCCGGGGACCGAUGCCCAGGAUGGCCCUCGCAGGUGACAGUGCCGGGGACCGAUGCCCAGGAUGGCCCUCGCAGGUGGCAGUGCCCGGGACCGAUGCCCAGGAUGGCCCUCGCAGGUGGCAGUGCCCAGGGAACGAUGCCCAGGAUGGCCCUCGCAGGUGGCAGUGCUGGGUAAAACCUGAAAGAAGAGCGGGUGCGGGGCCUGCACAGGGUGGGGAGGAGCCAAAACACUCCUGGGCAUCAUCGCCCUCCAGACACUGCCCCACGAGCAGCUUCCCUCCUCAGUCUGGGUGCUCAGCCCUCAGCCCAUCCUCACUUCCAGUCUUUAGACUCUCCAUUAAACUAAAUGAUUUUCUUCCCAAUUAAGGCAGAUUAGCAGGGGGUUCAUAUCUCAAGACUUUGAUGCUGGGAGUGGGUGGGGCUGAGAGACACCUCUCAGGAGAGGCUGGGGGAUGCUGGAGCGUAGGGGUCAGCAGGGGCCAGAGAAGACCGUGGGGAGGGAGCAGGAGGCUUGAGGCAAGGGCUCGUGGGAGAAAGCCUGGCGCUGACAAUGCUGGGGUAGCCAGGGGCGGCAGGAGCCCCAGGCCCUGUGCGUGUGGCGUUUCACCCUCCCACGCUGGGGGUUGCUGUGGUGAUGUUGAUGCUGCGGCCCCCAUGUAGCACCUGGGCCAAGCAGGCCAUGUCCCUGUUGCCUCCAGCCUGGGGUGUGGGGGAGGCUCAGAUGCCCUGGCAGGAUGGAGAGGCCCAUGGGGGCCACCUGACCAGGGUCUAGGCCACGCCUGUAGCUAUGCCGCGGGGCUACUGUCAUCACGCGGGGCAGGAAGAGGUCCCUCCCUCCUCUCCAGCCUGUCAGCUGCCAUGCCCUAGGCCAUGCUGAAGGACUGGGGGCCACACAGAGGAGGCUGUGGAGGGGGUGGAGUUCCUGCCUGUCUCACCCUCCUGUGCCUCCCCCAGGACGGUGCUCAGGGGCCACGUCUGGAUAGAGAUGGGGGCAGCUCCGCCUGCGCCCACAUCCCGAGCCCUGUACCUGUCUGAAGUUCUCCCAGGAGUUGGUCCAGGUCCAGAAGUGAGCCUUGUGCUGCCCGAGGGUGGCCGCCAUCAGCGUGUCGCCACGGUAAUAGAAGAUAGGCCUG
RNAcentral lists this long non-coding RNA (2299 nucleotides) under Pan troglodytes (chimpanzee). RNAcentral describes it as "long non-coding RNA NONPTRT006137". The record is from RNAcentral. Lineage: Eukaryota; Metazoa; Chordata; Mammalia; Primates; Hominidae.